AAGCUUACGAGUGUUCAAUCUUAACUUCUGGGUAUGUGAUAUUUUCUGCAGAUAAGUAGCAAAGUUUGAAGUGUUUUUUUUUUUUUACUUUUGUUGAAGAUUUGCUCUUUUUGUUUUGAGCAUUUGAGUUGUUCCAACUUUUUAUUUGUUAGUGUGUGAAAUUGGAUUUUGGAGAAGAAAAAUAAAUUGGAUUUUGGAGAAAGGUUUGAAUUUGAUUUUAGGGUUGUUUUCAUUUGAAGAUCUAAAUAGGUGGAAUUGAAAAAAGGAGUUGGAAGAUUGAUUUGAGAUGAGUUUUUACUGUGUUGGUUUGGUGUAAAUCAUAUGAAAAUAUGUGUGAAAUUUGAUUGGAAGUUGAAUAAUGAUUUAUUAGUUUGAUUUGAUUUUUUUUUUAUUGAGUAGAAAUGGAAGGGAAUUUAGCUCACGGAGGUAUUAUUCAAGGUGGUGUGGUUCUUUUGGUAGUUCUGAUUUGGCAGUAGGAUGGAUGCGAGUUAAUCAUCAAGCGCAGCAUACAAUGAACCAACAUCAAGCUCAUCCAUGUCAAGCUUAAUCGGUGCAUUCAUCAAUUCAUGAUGGUUUUCCUCUUCCGGAACUCUUUCUUAAAGUAUUCCGGUAACAUCUCUACGACUGUGCAUUCCAGAUCUCUUUUCUGAAGUAUUCCGGUAAAAACUUUUAUGUAGAGGAAAAAAUAUAUAGGGGUGAAGUCAGGGAGGGGUAAAAUUGGAGAAAAAAAUAAUUUGUAGGGGUAAAGGUAUAAUUGUUGGGGUGGAAAAAAAAAUCCGGAUGUUUAAUUCAUGUAUUUGUUUGGUAGAAACAUUUUAAUGUAUGCGGCAGAGAAAUGAUUUUGG
Molecule: long non-coding RNA, 845 nt
Filed under: Trifolium pratense (red clover)
Lineage: Eukaryota; Viridiplantae; Streptophyta; Magnoliopsida; Fabales; Fabaceae
Description: long non-coding RNA (TPRA_LNC012007)
Source: RNAcentral